RNAcentral lists this ribosomal RNA (468 nucleotides) under uncultured bacterium. RNAcentral describes it as "partial 16S ribosomal RNA". It matches the Rfam family "Bacterial small subunit ribosomal RNA", at positions 28 to 507 of the family's 1533-position model. The record is from RNAcentral.
GACGAACGCUGGCGGCGUGCUUAACACAUGCAAGUCGAACGGAAAGGCCCUGCUUUUGUGGGGUGCUCGAGUGGCGAACGGGUGAGUAACACGUGAGUAACCUGCCCUUGACUUUGGGAUAACUUCAGGAAACUGGGGCUAAUACCGGCUAGGAGCUCCUGCUGCAUGGUGGGGGUUGGAACGUUUCGGCGGUUGGGGAUGGACUCGCGGCUUAUCAGCUUGUUGGUGGGGUAGUGGCUUACCAAGGCUUUGACGGGUAGCCGGCCUGAGAGGGUGACCGGCCACAUUGGGACUGAGAUACGGCCCAGACUCCUACGGGAGGCAGCAGUGGGGAAGAUUGCGCAGUGGGCGGAAGCCUGAGGCAGCAACGCCGCGUGCGGGAUGACGGCCUUCGAGUUGUAAACCGCUUUCGCCUGUGACGAGGCGUGAGUGACGGUAAUGGGUAAAGAAGCACCGGCUAACUACGUG